This 253-nucleotide ribosomal RNA is filed under the name uncultured bacterium. RNAcentral's name for it is "partial 16S ribosomal RNA". It matches the Rfam family "Bacterial small subunit ribosomal RNA", at positions 524 to 776 of the family's 1533-position model. The record is from RNAcentral.
UACAGAGGGUGCAAACGUUGCUCGGAAUUAUUGGGCGUAAAGCGCACGUAGGCGGCUUAGCAAGUCGGAAGUGAAAUCCCUCGGCUCAACCAAGGAAGUGCUUUCGAAACUGCUGAGCUUGAGUACUUAAGAGGAUCGCGGAAUUCCCGGUGUAGAGGUGAAAUUCGUAGAUAUCGGGAGGAACACCAGUGGCGAAGGCGGCGAUCCGGGAAGAUACUGACGCUGAGGUGCGAAAGCGUGGGGAGCAAACAGG